CCCGCGUGCUCCGCUCCCAAUACUCGUCGCAAGCCAGAGCCCACACCCGCACCAACCCUAGCCUCCACACCUCACCUUCUCACAGCCGCCGCUCCAUUCCUCCCUUCCGCCCCCUCCUCCUUCCCGGAUCCCCACCACGGCGCCGACCUGCAGGCAAAGGGCGACAGCGGCGGCGCUCAGUUAGAUUUGUAGGAGAGAGAAGAUGAGAGGGAGAGAGAGGAGGGAGAAAGAGAGGAAGAGGAGAGGAGGCACGGCGUCGGAUGGGAGAGAGCAGGGGAGGGCCAAGAGGCCAACGGUGUGGGGUGGAGCAGCGAUGCCGAAGACCGGGCAGCGGACGCCUCACGGGGUGGAGGAGAGGUCGAUGGGCGGAGCCGUUCGCUCGCCGGACGUGGCGGCGCCAGGUUCCAGAUCGGACGCAGGUUAGGUGAGGGCGUGAGGCCGAUGGUGGUCCUUCUCAACCCGAGCUCACCUCACCCUCGCGGCGGCGACCAGCAGCUCGAGUAGGAAUGGUAAGGGCCCGUCAAGAUCUGGCCAGUGCCGUGCUCCCUGGCGCCCGCACAUAGCGGACUGUCCUCUGAUGGAGCAUAGGAGCAGCGGUCGCGGUUGGACGCCAUGAGCUGCCUGAGGUGAGGAACGGGCGCGCCCAACACCGUCCUCCAAUAAGUCCUUCCCGGUAGAGAAAGCCAACUCUCGGAUUUCAGUAAGGAAGGCGCGGCCACCAUGCCAUGUCCAUGGCACCAUCGACCCUUCACCCGCCUCCUCUUUGAAGUGCAGCACCAUCGUACCCCCUUUGGCCCUUCCCGCCCAGUUUUGCCUCACCAUAGGAGGAAUACGGGAGCUGCCUGCCUGCCUGCUACCCCAAAAGGAUGCGUCACCCAGUGGAAAUGCCUCUGGCUCACUGGUUUUGGUUCAGUUUGAAGGGCUCUCGGGACAAAAGAUAAUUGAGUUGUUGAAUCUGAAUGGGCGCCGCGAGGAGUGGAGGAUCGAGGUCGUGGGUUGCCAGCUUCAAAUUUUGGUUGAGCACUUCCUCAAUAAUCUUGUUGAGGUGUCUGUUUCCCCUCUUUGUGUCAUGAAUGAUUGUGUUGGCUGCAGGCUCUCCGCAAGGAGUUGAAGGCUGAGGUCAUGGUUGCCAGCUUCAAUUUUUUGCUGAGCAAUUCCUCAAGAGUCUUGCCAAGAUCUGAGGAUGAAGGGAAGAAGAAGGAUUUAACUAAAGAGUUGAAGAAGAUGAAGGCUCGCUGAUGGUCUGGCAAUGCUGCAUAUACAUCUGAAUGCCAAUGAUAGUAUGGUUUAGAUAGACAAGUUAAUAAUUUCUUUUUCUUCAUCAAGUUUACGCUUCCAUUGAUCUACAUUUAAUUUAAUUCACAAACCCGACACCCUUUGGAGUAGCCCAUGUGUAUCUCUGAAUCUUGGCACUUGGGUAUUAUAUGUAUUUCAUUGGUUCAUCGCACAUUGUAGCCAUGCAUGGGCCAGAGACAAUCGGCGAUAAAAACGAUCUGCUUGCAAGUUCUAUAUUACCAGCGGAGGCUUUGCCAAGAGGAAGGGUAAUUCGUGCAGGGGAAUAAACCCUACAUGGUAAUCCAGGGGAACAUGCUUUAUAAGUUGUGCUUUUUGUAAGCUAAGCUGUGUUUUUCAACCCGUUGUCCUUUAGAUAUCUUCCUUUUACAUUUUUUGUAUGUGAUGGUUAGUUGAUCAGGUUGAGUGCUUCUUUGCAGUGCUUGCUUCGUUGGAACAUGUUCAUUUGGCUAAUAAAACAGUACACAUCUCUCUUGAAUUAUGUGCAUCUCCUUUUUAGUUAUUUGAUUUUUUUAGUGACUCGCUAAUUGGAAAAUCGGGAUGCUAAAACUUGGCAUAAUGAAUUCUUGAAUUACGUACUUCUUAUUGUGCAUGUCAAACUAAGGACUAAAUAUAUUUUUAGUUGAGAUAUUGUUUUGAGUAUUUCUCUGCAACAACUUAAAUUACUUUUUGCAAAUAAAAUGAGCUAGCAUAUGCUAUACUUGCAAUGGUAAAUUAAUUAUGCAGUUCUGAGGAUUGAGGAAAUUAAUGGUCAGUCGUUCAUUGAGGGUUUGAAAGAGCCAUCAAGGCAACGAUCUCAUUUCAUCUCAUGCAUUGAUUUUGUUAUCUUCUUUAUAUGGCAUUUUAUUAAUUAUUUAUAUAUAUUUGCCGUAUUGCUGUUUCUAAAAAUUGCUGUAUCCUUUGUCCCCAUUUCCGUAUCGCUGUAUCUGUGUUGCCGGUGCACCAUAGCAAUUACUUAUUGAAGAAAAAUGUCCCUUUUCUUGUUCCCAUUGCUCGAUAAGCAUGAUCGCAUUUCUACCGAUUGAUUAUAAAUAUGGCCUUUCUUUUGAUUAUUUGAUGGUACUUCUGAUUGGCACCAUGAGGUCCUUCUUUGUCGUGUAGAUUCAUCCUUUACUUAAAUACUGAUGAUGAUAUGGUUGUAAAUUAGUCUGGUAUAUGCCAACAGUUGUCUCUCCCAGAAGAAUUUUUGUGAGAAUAGCGUACCUAAAGAGUUGGUUGUUUGUCUGGAUUGAACACCCAACUAUAAGAAUGGGUUGACAACACCGAUUGACUCUAUUGGCGCUUCUAUGUUGUCCAGCUUCAUCAUUUACUUAUACACUGAUGAUAUUGUUGUCAGCGUGUUGUAAGUACUUUGGGAAACAAGUCUGGUAUAUUACAAUGAUGUAGUCCUGCAGAUCAGUACAGGUCACCGGCUUUAUAUUGUUGUCAGCGUGUUGUAAGUACUUUGGGAAACAAGUUCUGGGGUAAGUUUACCUGCUUGCUCAUGCAUUUUAAUACUUGAUUGAUGUCCUGAUAAUUUGUGAAGUUCUGUGUACCAUGUGAUAAGCUGCACAUCAGGUUGCAUGGCAGCUUGUUUGUUGCUUUUAGGAUGUGCAUGUACCCAGGUGGAUCAAAUACAGAUACCAAUCAUAUAUUAUUAUUUUUACUCGUGUGUUUUUUUUGUGCCUGCCAAACAUUUCGAAAAUUGAUUAUAUCAUUCAGAUGUAUUCAGGCUGGGUUUCUGUGAUCCAAAAAAAUCAUCUGCCAUGGCUUUCUUUUUACAUACAAAACUAAGUGUGGAGCAGUGUAUAUUUUCAUUGCUUUCUUAUCACAUCACAUUUGUCGGAGGUGUUGUACUGAUUUGAAGGAAAUGCUUUUAUAUUUCCAAGUUGAUCAACUACACAACUUCUGAUCCUAAAGCCUUUCUUUAAAAGGGGCUGGUCAAUGCAGCUCCAUGUUGUGCUAUCUUGCUAUUGGGCUCUUUUUUCGUUACUUAAAAUGGUCAGAUAUCUCUGAUGUUAAAUUCGUGGUUGAUUGCUUAUAUCCAAAAUAACUAUUUUAGUACACUGAAGCCAAUUUCUAAAUUGUUAGUGAAGUUGGCUAAAUAGUUUUUGCGCCACUAAGAUAUAUGUGCACUGCAUUCUAACCCUGUAAAUUGUUGUGCUAUUAGUUUAAUCCAGAAUAUAAUUAUGUUAUAUUCUGCUUUUGUCAGUUUGCUGGUCCAUAUUAAUUUCCUCGAGCUUAUUUUCACAUCUCGUCAUAUUUACACCUUUCUGCCAACUGCCACCUAUCAUGGAGGGAGAUGGCUUGGCCAGGCCGUCAACACCCAUCGGCAACUUCCGGCAGGCGCCGUCCCGUUCUUCCUCCCCUUACUCUGAUGCCUUCAUGGCCAAAAUCAUUAGCAGGAGCAAGAAGGUUAAGCGCCAAUUAUGGUUAAAGCUUUGUCUCUUUUGUGUACUAUGCAUGAUUGAUCUGAUUUUGCUGGCCAGCUUACAAAUUCAAGUAAUAUGGCUAUUGCAAUGCAUCUUACUACGUGUGUAUUUAUUUGCAUUGAUAUUUUCUCCUUCUUGGGCUCCAAAUCGUUUGUGGGUCAUAAGUUAUUGUGCAUUAUUGAUGAUUAAUUUGCAAUUUAAAUGACAACAGGGUUGGGUUUUAUAAGUGUAAUGGCUUGAAAUGUGACCUUCCAUUCAAGAUAUUUUGUCAGUGAGAAGCUUAUGUGAAGAAUGAUGUAAUUAAGUUAGCAAUUUACAGUUCUCUUUGAUAAUUGUAACUGAAUUGUCAAUGGUCAGUUCUCUUGAAUAAUGAGUUACUCCCUCAAUUUUACAAUAGAGAUAAUUUGUCAAAAUUGUGUUUUUGUAAUGUUUGUGGUCUUCUUUUCUCUUUUUCUUGAUUUGUAUUGUAUAUGCUAUUUGCAUAUUUGAACAUGCAUAGGGCCUCUCAGUCUUUAACCUUGACUAUAAAAAUCCAUUGAUGGAAGCUGGGGAGGGCUGAGAUGAACAUCCGG
RNAcentral lists this ribosomal RNA (4276 nucleotides) under Triticum aestivum (bread wheat). Its description in RNAcentral is "partial small subunit ribosomal RNA". Lineage: Eukaryota; Viridiplantae; Streptophyta; Magnoliopsida; Poales; Poaceae. The record is from RNAcentral.